GCCCUUGUAGCUCAGUGGUAGAGCGCAGCACUCGUAUGACUUUCGGGUUCGACAUGCUGAGGUCCAUAGUUCAAUCCUGUGCGGGGGCA
Molecule: non-coding RNA, 89 nt
Organism: Tulasnella sp. 403
Lineage: Eukaryota; Fungi; Basidiomycota; Agaricomycetes; Cantharellales; Tulasnellaceae
Source: the annotation of a GenBank genome assembly